AUUGAACGCUGGCGGCAUGCCUUACACAUGCAAGUCGAACGGUAACAGGUCUUCGGAUGCUGACGAGUGGCGAACGGGUGAGUAAUACAUCGGAACGUGCCUAGUAGUGGGGGAUAACUACUCGAAAGAGUGGCUAAUACCGCAUGAGAUCUACGGAUGAAAGCAGGGGAUCGCAAGACCUUGUGCUACUAGAGCGGCCGAUGGCAGAUUAGGUAGUUGGUGGGAUAAAAGCUUACCAAGCCGACGAUCUGUAGCUGGUCUGAGAGGACGAUCAGCCACACUGGGACUGAGACACGGCCCAGACUCCUACGGGAGGCAGCAGUGGGUAAUUUUGGACGAUGGGCGAAAGCCUGAUCCAGCAAUGCCGCGUGCAGGAUGAAGGCCUUCGGGUUGUAAACUGCUUUUGUACGGAACGAAAAGCCCUGGGUUAAUACCCUGGGGUCAUGACGGUACCGUAAGAAUAAGCACCGGCUAACUACGUGCCAGCAGCCGCCGUAA
Molecule: ribosomal RNA, 498 nt
Filed under: uncultured bacterium
Lineage: Bacteria
Description: partial 16S ribosomal RNA
Rfam family: Bacterial small subunit ribosomal RNA
Source: RNAcentral